This 632-nucleotide ribosomal RNA is filed under the name Triticum aestivum (bread wheat). Its description in RNAcentral is "partial small subunit ribosomal RNA". Lineage: Eukaryota; Viridiplantae; Streptophyta; Magnoliopsida; Poales; Poaceae. The record is from RNAcentral.
AAUCCGACAACCGAAGCAAACACUCGACUCCCUCGCUAUACACUACUCUCUCCCUCAUAGAACACUGAACACGACCGCCCCCUCUUCUACUUCAUCCCCACCGGCGGCGAGACGAACACCCACCCCUGCCUGGUCCAUGGCGGCCGCCCUUCCCCAGCCGCUGAUCUAUGCCCCCCCACCUCCUCCUGCCGCUGCGCCGGUCCAUGGCGGCCGCCCUUACUUUACCUCUCUUCACGCAGCCCGGAUCUGCCGCUUACGGCUUCCACCUCGCUUCCCUUUUCCCCAUUGCUCUCCAGCCCCGCACAAACCCCUUUGCCGCCAUCAGCCUAGUCCCCAGCCACGGCUCCGCUCCGGCUGCCAUGUAUGAGCUUUGCCUCCAACGGAUCGUCGGCACCGACCACCGGGCAGCCUUGGAGGGAUCCGGCAGAGGCUCCCCACCUCGGCUGCGGCUGGAGGAGGCCAUCGAUGCCUCAUACUUCGCGCCGUCCCAGCAACAAUGAGCGCCGCCACGUCCGUCCAUGGGUACCCCCUGCUCAGCGUAGUUCGUAGACGAUGUUCUACAAGCAGUCUUGCCCGGGAAGAAAAUGCACAUCAUGGGGAACUUGAGAGUGGAGAAGAAAAACUCAGUCCAG